AGCUUGACUGCGAGACCUACAAGUCGAGCAGGGUCGAAAGACGGACUUAGUGAUCCGGUGGUUCCGCAUGGAAGGGCCAUCGCUCAACGGAUAAAAGCUACCCCGGGGAUAACAGGCUUAUCUCCCCCAAGAGUUCACAUCGACGGGGAGGUUUGGCACCUCGAUGUCGGCUCAUCGCAUCCUGGGGCUGUAGUCGGUCCCAAGGGUUGGGCUGUUCGCCCAUUAAAGCGGUACGCGAGCUGGGUUCAGAACGUCGUGAGACAGUUCGGUCCCUAUCCGUCGUGGGCGUAGGAAAUUUGAGAGGAGCUGUCCUUAGUACGAGAGGACCGGGAUGGACAUACCUCUGGUGUACCAGUUGUCGUGCCAACGGCAUAGCUGGGUAGCUAUGUGUGGACGGGAUAAGUGCUGAAAGCAUCUAAGCAUGAAGCCCCCCUCAAGAUGAGAUUUCCCAACUUCGGUUAUAAGAUCCCUCAAAGAUGAUGAGGUUAAUAGGUUCGAGGUG
RNAcentral lists this ribosomal RNA (502 nucleotides) under Staphylococcus aureus. RNAcentral's name for it is "partial 23S ribosomal RNA". It matches the Rfam family "Bacterial large subunit ribosomal RNA", at positions 2366 to 2869 of the family's 2925-position model. Lineage: Bacteria; Bacillati; Bacillota; Bacilli; Caryophanales; Staphylococcaceae. The record is from RNAcentral.